Molecule: ribosomal RNA, 379 nt
Filed under: uncultured Bacteroidales bacterium
Lineage: Bacteria; Pseudomonadati; Bacteroidota; Bacteroidia; Bacteroidales
Description: bacterial SSU rRNA
Rfam family: Bacterial small subunit ribosomal RNA
Source: RNAcentral
GCUCAGGAUGAACGCUAGCUACAGGCUUAACACAUGCAAGUCGAGGGGCAGCAUGAUUCCAGCUUGCUGGAAUUGAUGGCGACCGGCGCACGGGUGAGUAACGCGUAUCCAACCUACCGUAUACUCAGGGAUAGCCUUCCGAAAGGGAGAUUAACACCUGAUAGUAUCUAAAGACUCAUAGUCUUAAGAUUAAAUGUAAAGGUAUAUGAUGGGGAUGCGUUCCAUUAGAUAGUAGGCGGGGUAACGGCCCACCUAGUCGACGAUGGAUAGGGGUUCUGAGAGGAAGGUCCCCCACAUUGGAACUGAGACACGGUCCAAACUCCUACGGGAGGCAGCAGUGAGGAAUAUUGGUCAAUGGAUGAGAAUCUGAACCAGCCAA